AUUGAACGCUGGCGGCAGGCCUAACACAUGCAAGUCGAGCGGAUGAAGGGAGCUUGCUCCUGGAUUCAGCUGCGGACGGGUGAGUAAUGCCUAGGAAUCUGCCUGGUAUUUGGGGAUAACGUCCGUAAACGGGCGCUAAUACCGCAUACGUCCUGAGGGAGAAAGUGGGGGAUCUUCGGACCUCACGCUAUCAGAUGAGCCUAGGUCGGAUUAGCUAGUUGGUGGGGUAAAGGCCUACCAAGGCGACGAUCCGUAACUGGUCUGAGAGGAUGAUCAGUCACACUGGAACUGAGACACGGUCCAGACUCCUACGGGAGGCAGCAGUGGGGAAUAUUGGACAAUGGGCGAAAGCCUGAUCCAGCCAUGCCGCGUGAGUGAAGAAGGUCUUCGGAUUGUAAAGCACUUUAAGUUGGGAGGAAGGGAAGUAAGUUAAUACCUUGAUGUCUUGACGUUACCAACAGAAUAAGCCCCGGCUAACUUCGUG
This 484-nucleotide ribosomal RNA is filed under the name uncultured bacterium. RNAcentral's name for it is "partial 16S ribosomal RNA". It matches the Rfam family "Bacterial small subunit ribosomal RNA", at positions 30 to 507 of the family's 1533-position model. The record is from RNAcentral.